Molecule: long non-coding RNA, 1188 nt
Filed under: Monodelphis domestica (gray short-tailed opossum)
Lineage: Eukaryota; Metazoa; Chordata; Mammalia; Didelphimorphia; Didelphidae
Description: lncRNA (ENSMODG00000037509.1)
Source: RNAcentral
AACCUAAGACUUCCCAUCUCUAUGCCUGACUCUCAAUCCACUGAGCUACCCAGCUGCCCCCUAACUAUCACCAUUUUUAAAGAUGGCAGCCAAUCAAGAGUCUACCCCCACCCACAUGGUAGGGAAUGUAGAAAGCUUUAUGUUCGUGCUGUGGAAGUGAGAAAUUGAGAAUGGUUUGUAGCAGGAGCUUGGAAUAGCUGAGACUGAUGACCUGUCAUUCAAACGAGAGCACUCUGGUGUGGAAUGUGACCAGGAGAGGCAGUUGGAGGAAGGAGCAGACCAACUGAAAUCAUAUAAAUGCCCUUUUGGCUUGGAAAGACAGAAGAGGUCUUAUGUCUCUUGGCUUUUAGAGACUGAAGCCUGAAGGUUGUCUUUGGCUUGGAGGAUAGAAAAAAGAAGGACAAAGUCCAGCUCUCUGACUUGCUCUGUUGUGAUAGUAACUGAACUUCCACACCUAUCAGCCAUUUUCCAAAUUGAACUAUAUUUCACCAUCCUUCAAUCUAAGACUCAUCCUAGUAUUAGGGAAACUCCAAAGCUCUCUUCCCUUUCAUUUUCUUAUCCUUCCCUGUCUUACCCAAUAAAUCCCUUACAUAACUAAGAUAGAGAAGAGAAAGAGUAUUUCAUUUGAGAUAUCAUAAACUCACCCUUGAGUUGAUUAGAGAGAUCAAUAAGAGAAUCAGCAGGAAUGGGGGAGGCAAGAAGGGAGGAAGAAGGAGGAAGGGAGGAAGGAAGAUCAACAGCCUGAUCUGUAGUUAUCAAUUACAAUUCAAAUAGUCCCUUAUUACAAUGCCCAAAAAACUCCUCAAGGGUAUCUCCAUAUUAGAACUGAGCAAGCUCAGAGAAGCUCAAUUUACAUAUACAUUGAUUUCAAAAAUGUAAAUGAAAAGAACAACAACAAACAAAACCAAUUGCUCCAAAAUUAUGAAUGAGCUUGGCCCCAAAGAAGAGAUAUGAGAAGAGUCACAUUCACUCCCAUUACAAGCCAGGCAAGCCAAGAACAUCAAUCACCUUCAAGACACACUCUACUGCAGACAGAAACCAGGCAACAUUUCCAGCCUUUUCAGCCAGGAAUAUUCCUCUGUACAUGUGACCUUCUCCCUUACAAAGACCUGUUUGCUUGUGUGGCCCUCUCCUCCAUGGGUGAGUUCCUCCCCAAACCUCAAAUCUCAGAGUAUUCCAGCCAGUCCU